UGGUUCCUAAGCGGCUCUGGGCCGCGGCUGUUCCUGAAUGGAUGUGGGCCUCCCUCUCUUGCACAUGGUCCGAGGUGUGAGCCAGGAGCGGAGGGCAGGGCCAUCUCCUCCAUCCCUGACCUGCACAGGAGCCCUGUGAAUUUGUCUUUCAACAACGUUCACUGAGCUCUACCACGUGUCAGGCACUGUUCUGGGAGGGUCUCCACAGCACACAGCCACCAAACACGGUGACAGGCAUCAAGGAGAAUGCUGUGGGCAGGGCCAGCUCUGAGUCUCAGGUCACCCAGCCCAGCUGGCCACAGACCCUUUACAGGGGUCAGAGGCUGUGGACACUGAUGACCCCCCAAGACAGAGCUAUAACAGCCUUAUCCCCAUAGCAAGGAGCUGUCAUUCAGGAGACCUGGGGGGCUCCCCUUGGCAGUGUGGGACAGAAUAGGGAGGAAAGAGAAUUUGCUGAGUGGACAGAGGCCUCUUUCUUCCCUGGGGCAAAGUCCCCUAUGCUCCUGGUGGUGGGGAUGGGCAUGAGCAUGGCAGGGUGCUGGAGCCAGUAGGGCUUAUGGGGAAAGAGCCAGCCCACAUGCCAGGGGCAGCAAGGAGCCUAACCCCAAGAAAGGGCAUCCCACAAGUUAUAGGUCCGGCCAUCAGCUGGGGAGCAAUGUUCAAAUGGGGGGAUCAGGGAGUCAACUGGGCAGUAUGGCCUGGGAUGGGCUCUGCCCUCCUCCCUCCCUCUCUGCAGAUGGAGCCACCAUGCCCUGGACCCCACUACUGGCCAUCACUAGGGCUAGCCUGCUGAGAGCCUGGCCAGGCCCCACCCUGCCCUGAACCAGGAUCCAAACCCUGGCCAGUUGCCUCUCCAGGCCACCUGAGAAAGCCUGUCCUCCCUGCACACCUACAGCAAAGGGCUUCCUUCUACCUUCUGUCAGGGCAGGGAUGACCAGGAUAAGGUCCACAGAGCACCAGCAGCCUGCCCUGCGUGGUAAAGUGUCCUUUAGUCACACAGACACCUAUGGAGGACCUCCAGGGUCCAGCCCUGCAAUGCCCCUGACCUAAAAUGGGGCCCAUCUUUGGGAGGCACCCCACUCCAAGAGAGCUUGGCUGGGGACUCAGAGCUCCUAGCUCCAGGGAGACCAGGGCCUGGGCAAGGCCCCUGGGCCUUGGAGCCAGGCAGGGUCUCCCCUCGGGGGCCUCAGCUCCUGGGUAAACAUUAAUGGGGCUCGGCACACAGCAGGUCAUGUGCGCACCCAGCGGAUCUUUGAC
RNAcentral lists this long non-coding RNA (1257 nucleotides) under Marmota monax (woodchuck). Lineage: Eukaryota; Metazoa; Chordata; Mammalia; Rodentia; Sciuridae. The record is from RNAcentral.